UCCCUGGUGGCUCAGACGGUAAAGCAUCUGCCUAUAGUGUGGGAGACCCGGGUUCAAUCCCUGGGUGGGGAA
Molecule: transfer RNA, 72 nt
Organism: Ovis aries (sheep)
Lineage: Eukaryota; Metazoa; Chordata; Mammalia; Artiodactyla; Bovidae
Rfam family: tRNA
About the family: Transfer RNA (tRNA) molecules are approximately 80 nucleotides in length. Their secondary structure includes four short double-helical elements and three loops (D, anti-codon, and T loops). Further hydrogen bonds mediate the characteristic L-shaped molecular structure. tRNAs have two regions of fundamental functional importance: the anti-codon, which is responsible for specific mRNA codon recognition, and the 3' end, to which the tRNAs corresponding amino acid is attached (by aminoacyl-tRNA synthetases). tRNAs cope with the degeneracy of the genetic code in two manners: having more than one tRNA (with a specific anti-codon) for a particular amino acid; and 'wobble' base-pairing, i.e. permitting non-standard base-pairing at the 3rd anti-codon position.
Source: Rfam